RNAcentral lists this ribosomal RNA (1053 nucleotides) under uncultured archaeon. RNAcentral's name for it is "bacterial SSU rRNA". It matches the Rfam family "Archaeal small subunit ribosomal RNA", at positions 1 to 1053 of the family's 1478-position model. The record is from RNAcentral.
GCGGCCGCUCCGGUUGAUCCCGGCAGAGGCCACUGCUAUCGGAGUUCGAUUAAGCCAUGCGAGUCGAGGGGUGCAAGACCUCGGCAUACUGCUCAGUAACACGUGGACAACCUAACCUAUGGAGGGGGAUAACCCCGGGAAACUGGGGAUAAUACCCCAUAGACUAUGGAUGCUGGAAUGCUCUGUAGUUGAAAGGUCCGCCGCCAUAGGAUGGGUCUGCGGCCGAUUAGGUUGUUGUUGGGGUAACGGCCCAACAAGCCCUGUAAUCGGUACCGGGUUGUGGGAGCAAGAGCCCGGAGAUGGAUUCUGAGACACGAAUCCAGGCCCUACGGGGCGCAGCAGGCGCGAAAACUUUACAAUGCGGGGAACCGUGAUAAGGGAACUCCGAGUGCCCGUAAAAUCGGGCUGUCCAUCUGUUUAAACAACAGGUGAAGAAAGGGCCGGGCAAGACCGGCGCCAGCCGCCGCGGUAAUACCGGCGGCUCGAGUGGUGGCCACUAUUACUGGGCUUAAAGCGUUCGUAGCUGGUUUGUUAAGUCUCUGGGGAAAUCUGCCGGCUCAACCGGCAGGCGUUCCAGGGAUACUGGCAGACUAGGGACCGGGAGAGGUGAGGGGUACUCCAGGGGUAGGAGUGAAAUCCUGUAAUCCUUGGGGGACCACCUGUGGCGAAGGCGCCUCACCGGAACGGCUCCGACAGUGAGGGACGAAAGCUGGGGGGAGCAAACCGGAUUAGAUACCCGGGUAGUCCCAGCUGUAAAUGAUGCGCGUUAGGUGUAUCGGCGACCACGAGUCACCGAGGUGCCGAAGAGAAAUCGUGAAACGUGCCGCCUGGGAAGUACGGUCGCAAGGCUGAAACUUAAAGGAAUUGGCGGGGGUGCACCACAACAGGUGGAGCCUGCGGUUUAAUCGGACUCAACGCCGGAAACCUCACCGGAUAAGACAGCUGGAUGAUAGUCGGGCUGAAGACUCUACUUGACUAGCUGAGAGGAGGUGCAUGGCCGUCGUUAGUUCGUACUGUGAAGCAUCCUGUUAAGUCAGGCAACGAGCGAGACCC